ACGUAGGGGGCAAGCGUUAUCCGGAAUUAUUGGGCGUAAAGAGUGCGUAGGUGGUUUUUUAAGCGUGAGGUGAAAGGCAAUAGCUUAACUAUUGUAAGCCUUGCGAACUGGAAGACUUGAGUGCAGGAGAGGAAAGUGGAAUUCCUAGUGUAGCUGUGAAAUGCGUAGAAAUUAGGAGGAACAACAGAGGCGAAGGCGACAUUCAGGAUUGUAUCCGACUCUGAUGCACGAAAGCAUGGAGAGCAAACAG
This 250-nucleotide ribosomal RNA is filed under the name uncultured prokaryote. Its description in RNAcentral is "partial 16S rRNA". It matches the Rfam family "Bacterial small subunit ribosomal RNA", at positions 525 to 775 of the family's 1533-position model. The record is from RNAcentral.